This 771-nucleotide ribosomal RNA is filed under the name uncultured bacterium. RNAcentral describes it as "bacterial SSU rRNA". It matches the Rfam family "Bacterial small subunit ribosomal RNA", at positions 8 to 796 of the family's 1533-position model. The record is from RNAcentral.
AGAGUUUGAUCCUGGCUCAGGACGAACGCUGGCGGCGUGCUUAACACAUGCAAGUCGAACGGAAAGGCCCUUCGGGGUACUCGAGUGGCGAACGGGUGAGUAACACGUGGGUGAUCUGCCCUGCACUUUGGGAUAAGCCUGGGAAACUGGGUCUAAUACCGAAUAUGACCAUGCGCCUCCUGGUGUGUGGUGGAAAGCUUUUGCGGUGUGGGAUGGGCCCGCGGCCUAUCAGCUUGUUGGUGGGGUAAUGGCCUACCAAGGCGACGACGGGUAGCCGGCCUGAGAGGGUGACCGGCCACACUGGGACUGAGAUACGGCCCAGACUCCUACGGGAGGCAGCAGUGGGGAAUAUUGCACAAUGGGCGCAAGCCUGAUGCAGCGACGCCGCGUGAGGGAUGACGGCCUUCGGGUUGUAAACCUCUUUCAGCACAGACGAAGCGCAAGUGACGGUAUGUGCAGAAGGAGGACCGGCCAACUACGUGCCAGCAGCCGCGGUAAUACGUAGGGUCCGAGCGUUGUCCGGAAUUACUGGGCGUAAAGAGCUCGUAGGUGGUUUGUCGCGUUGUUCGUGAAAACUCACAGCUUAACUGUGGGCGUGCGGGCGAUACGGGCAGACUUGAGUACUGCAGGGGAGACUGGAAUUCCUGGUGUAGCGGUGGAAUGCGCAGAUAUCAGGAGGAACACCGGUGGCGAAGGCGGGUCUCUGGGCAGUAACUGACGCUGAGGAGCGAAAGCGUGGGGAGCGAACAGGAUUAGAUACCCUGGUAGUCC